AAUAAGAAGCAAAAUUUGCCUUUAGUUUCGACCUAAAAAUUUGAUGAUCAUUCAUCCUUAUUU
This 63-nucleotide transfer RNA is filed under the name Agelasta perplexa. RNAcentral describes it as "tRNA-Arg". Lineage: Eukaryota; Metazoa; Arthropoda; Insecta; Coleoptera; Cerambycidae. The record is from RNAcentral.